UUUAAACACAAGGUUUAUGACCAUAAAAGGAAGGUUGGGUUUGAUUUUGGGAGGUUUGGUCCCAACAGUUUAGGAAUUAGGGGCCCAAAGGGUCCUAAAUUGAACUUAGUUUGAUUUCAUCAAAAAUUUAAUAAUUGGGGUUCUUUGAUAUGCCGAAUCUAACUGUGUAUGUAGAUUCUUAAUUUUUUGUCCCGUUUUCAAAUUGGUCUACAUUAAGGUCCAAAGGGUCC
Molecule: long non-coding RNA, 230 nt
Filed under: Mytilus galloprovincialis (Mediterranean mussel)
Lineage: Eukaryota; Metazoa; Mollusca; Bivalvia; Mytilida; Mytilidae
Source: RNAcentral